Molecule: unclassified non-coding RNA, 298 nt
Filed under: Homarus americanus (American lobster)
Lineage: Eukaryota; Metazoa; Arthropoda; Malacostraca; Decapoda; Nephropidae
Description: single-stranded DNA-binding protein, mitochondrial- like, transcript variant X1
Source: RNAcentral
UCACAGGUCCAUAAACAACAGAGGUUGAGAGUGUGGGCAAGCAGUUAAACCUGAAGAUUGAUUGAUCCACCACGGAGAAACAACUUGUGUCCCAGUGACUAGUCAUCAUGUAUAGAAAUACAAUAUCUGCAGUGGGUCGUUCUGUGUCCAGUAUCUGGGGCAAUAGAAUGUUUCAGACAUCUGGUCUUAAACUCUCUGAAAAUGAUGGACUUCAGACACAGAGAGUGGAGAGGCUCGAGAAAAGUUGUACCCCUCUAGUCCGGCAACCUCGGGACCUGACCGGUGCCGGACCAUGGAA